Molecule: ribosomal RNA, 404 nt
Filed under: Actinomycetes bacterium
Lineage: Bacteria; Bacillati; Actinomycetota; Actinomycetes
Description: Actinobacteria bacterium partial 16S ribosomal RNA
Rfam family: Bacterial small subunit ribosomal RNA
Source: RNAcentral
UGGGGAAUAUUGGACAAUGGGCGCAAGCCUGAUCCAGCCAUGCCGCGUUAGUGAUGAAGGCCCUAGGGUUGUAAAGCUCUUUCACCGGUGAAGAUAAUGACGGUAACCGGAGAAGAAGCCCCGGCUAACUUCGUGCCAGCAGCCGCGGUAAUACGAAGGGGGCUAGCGUUGUUCGGAUUUACUGGGCGUAAAGCGCACGUAGGCGGACUUUUAAGUCAGGGGUGAAAUCCCGGGGCUCAACCCCGGAACUGCCUUUGAUACUGGAAGUCUUGAGUAUGGUAGAGGUGAGUGGAAUUCCGAGUGUAGAGGUGAAAUUCGUAGAUAUUCGGAGGAACACCAGUGGCGAAGGCGGCUCACUGGACCAUUACUGACGCUGAUGUGCGAAAGAGUGGGGAGCAAACAGG